GAUUAAGUUAUUAAGGGCGCACGGUGGAUGCCUUGGCACUAGAAGCCGAUGAAGGACGUUACUAACGACGAUAUGCUUUGGGGAGCUGUAAGUAAGCUUUGAUCCAGAGAUUUCCGAAUGGGGAAACCCAGCAUGAGUUAUGUCAUGUUAUCGAUAUGUGAAUACAUAGCAUAUCAGAAGGCACACCCGGAGAACUGAAACAUCUUAGUACCCGGAGGAAGAGAAAGAAAAUUCGAUUCCCUUAGUAGCGGCGAGCGAAACGGGAAGAGCCCAAACCAACAAGCUUGCUUGUUGGGGUUGUAGGACACUCUAUACGGAGUUACAAAGGACGACAUUAGACGAAUCAUCUGGAAAGAUGAAUCAAAGAAGGUAAUAAUCCUGUAGUCGAAAAUGUUGUCUCUCUUGAGUGGAUCCUGAGUACGACGGAGCACGUGAAAUUCCGUCGGAAUCUGGGAGGACCAUCUCCUAAGGCUAAAUACUCUCUAGUGACCGAUAGUGAACCAGUACCGUGAGGGAAAGGUGAAAAGCACCCCGGAAGGAGAGUGAAAUAGAACCUGAAACCGUGUGCUUACAAGUAGUCAGAGCCCGUUAAUGGGUGAUGGCGUGCCUUUUGUAGAAUGAACCGGCGAGUUACGAUUUGAUGCAAGGUUAAGCAGUAAAUGUGGAGCCGUAGCGAAAGCGAGUCUGAAUAGGGCGUUUAGUAUUUGGUCGUAGACCCGAAACCAGGUGAUCUACCCUUGGUCAGGUUGAAGUUCAGGUAACACUGAAUGGAGGACCGAACCGACUUACGUUGAAAAGUGAGCGGAUGAACUGAGGGUAGCGGAGAAAUUCCAAUCGAACCUGGAGAUAGCUGGUUCUCUCCGAAAUAGCUUUAGGGCUAGCCUCAAGUGAUGAUUAUUGGAGGUAGAGCACUGUUUGGACGAGGGGCCCCUCUCGGGUUACCGAAUUCAGACAAACUCCGAAUGCCAAUUAAUUUAACUUGGGAGUCAGAACAUGGGUGAUAAGGUCCGUGUUCGAAAGGGAAACAGCCCAGACCACCAGCUAAGGUCCCAAAAUAUAUGUUAAGUGGAAAAGGAUGUGGCGUUGCCCAGACAACUAGGAUGUUGGCUUAGAAGCAGCCAUCAUUUAAAGAGUGCGUAAUAGCUCACUAGUCGAGUGACACUGCGCCGAAAAUGUACCGGGGCUAAACAUAUUACCGAAGCUGUGGAUUGUCCUUUGGACAAUGGUAGGAGAGCGUUCUAAGGGCGUUGAAGCAUGAUCGUAAGGACAUGUGGAGCGCUUAGAAGUGAGAAUGCCGGUGUGAGUAGCGAAAGACGGGUGAGAAUCCCGUCCACCGAUUGACUAAGGUUUCCAGAGGAAGGCUCGUCCGCUCUGGGUUAGUCGGGUCCUAAGCUGAGGCCGACAGGCGUAGGCGAUGGAUAACAGGUUGAUAUUCCUGUACCACCUAUAAUCGUUUUAAUCGAUGGGGGGACGCAGUAGGAUAGGCGAAGCGUGCGAUUGGAUUGCACGUCUAAGCAGUAAGGCUGAGUAUUAGGCAAAUCCGGUACUCGUUAAGGCUGAGCUGUGAUGGGGAGAAGACAUUGAGUCUUCGAGUCGUUGAUUUCACACUGCCGAGAAAAGCCUCUAGAUAGAAAAUAGGUGCCCGUACCGCAAACCGACACAGGUAGUCAAGAUGAGAAUUCUAAGGUGAGCGAGCGAACUCUCGUUAAGGAACUCGGCAAAAUGACCCCGUAACUUCGGGAGAAGGGGUGCUCUUUAGGGUUAACGCCCAGAAGAGCCGCAGUGAAUAGGCCCAAGCGACUGUUUAUCAAAAACACAGGUCUCUGCUAAACCGUAAGGUGAUGUAUAGGGGCUGACGCCUGCCCGGUGCUGGAAGGUUAAGAGGAGUGGUUAGCUUCUGCGAAGCUACGAAUCGAAGCCCCAGUAAACGGCGGCCGUAACUAUAACGGUCCUAAGGUAGCGAAAUUCCUUGUCGGGUAAGUUCCGACCCGCACGAAAGGCGUAACGAUUUGGGCACUGUCUCAACGAGAGACUCGGUGAAAUCAUAGUACCUGUGAAGAUGCAGGUUACCCGCGACAGGACGGAAAGACCCCGUGGAGCUUUACUGUAGCCUGAUAUUGAAAUUCGGCACAGCUUGUACAGGAUAGGUAGGAGCCUUUGAAACGUGAGCGCUAGCUUACGUGGAGGCGCUGGUGGGAUACUACCCUAGCUGUGUUGGCUUUCUAACCCGCACCACUUAUCGUGGUGGGAGACAGUGUCAGGCGGGCAGUUUGACUGGGGCGGUCGCCUCCUAAAAGGUAACGGAGGCGCUCAAAGGUUCCCUCAGAAUGGUUGGAAAUCAUUCAUAGAGUGUAAAGGCAUAAGGGAGCUUGACUGCGAGACCUACAAGUCGAGCAGGGUCGAAAGACGGACUUAGUGAUCCGGUGGUUCCGCAUGGAAGGGCCAUCGCUCAACGGAUAAAAGCUACCCCGGGGAUAACAGGCUUAUCUCCCCCAAGAGUUCACAUCGACGGGGAGGUUUGGCACCUCGAUGUCGGCUCAUCGCAUCCUGGGGCUGUAGUCGGUCCCAAGGGUUGGGCUGUUCGCCCAUUAAAGCGGUACGCGAGCUGGGUUCAGAACGUCGUGAGACAGUUCGGUCCCUAUCCGUCGUGGGCGUAGGAAAUUUGAGAGGAGCUGUCCUUAGUACGAGAGGACCGGGAUGGACAUACCUCUGGUGUACCAGUUGUCGUGCCAACGGCAUAGCUGGGUAGCUAUGUGUGGACGGGAUAAGUGCUGAAAGCAUCUAAGCAUGAAGCCCCCCUCAAGAUGAGAUUUCCCAACUUCGGUUAUAAGAUCCCUCAAAGAUGAUGAGGUUAAUAGGUUCGAGGUGGAAGCAUGGUGACAUGUGGAGCUGACGAAUACUAAUCGAUCGAAGACUUAAUCAA
Molecule: ribosomal RNA, 2923 nt
Filed under: Staphylococcus aureus
Lineage: Bacteria; Bacillati; Bacillota; Bacilli; Caryophanales; Staphylococcaceae
Description: 23S ribosomal RNA
Rfam family: Bacterial large subunit ribosomal RNA
Source: RNAcentral